This 1477-nucleotide ribosomal RNA is filed under the name uncultured bacterium. RNAcentral describes it as "partial 16S rRNA". It matches the Rfam family "Bacterial small subunit ribosomal RNA". The record is from RNAcentral.
AGUGAACGCUGGCGGCGUGCUUAACACAUGCAAGUCGCACGAGAAAGCUUCUGCUUGCAGAGGCGAGUAAAGUGGCGCACGGGUGAGUAACACGUGGGUAAUCUACCUUCGAAUUGGGGAUAACGUUGCGAAAGCGACGCUAAUACCGAAUGAUAUCUUUGAGUCCUCGGAUUCAGAGAUCAAAGGUGGCCUCUUCAUGAAAGCUACUGUUUGAAGAUGAGCCCGCGUCCCAUUAGCUUGUUGGUGGGGUAAUGGCCUACCAAGGCUACGAUGGGUAGCUGGUCUGAGAGGAUGAUCAGCCACACUGGAACUGACACACGGUCCAGACUCCUACGGGAGGCAGCAGUGAGGAAUUUUGCGCAAUGGGGGAAACCCUGACGCAGCAACGCCGCGUGAGUGAUGAAGGCUUUCGGGUCGUAAAGCUCUGUCAAGUGGGAAGAACCCGUAUAUGGCUAAUAUCCAUAUACGCUGACGGUACCACUGAAGGAAGCACCGGCUAACUCCGUGCCAGCAGCCGCGGUAAUACGGGGGGUGCAAGCGUUACUCGGAAUCAUUGGGCGUAAAGGGCGCGUAGGCGGCCUAGUAAGUCAGGUGUGAAAGCCCGGGGCUUAACCCCGGAAGUGCAUUUGAUACUGCUAGGCUUGAGUAUGGGAGAGGGAAGUGGAAUUCCUGGUGUAGAGGUGAAAUUCGUAGAUAUCAGGAGGAACACCGGUGGCGAAGGCGACUUCCUGGACCAAUACUGACGCUGAGGCACGAAAGCUGGGGGAGCAAACAGGAUUAGAUACCCUGGUAGUCCCAGCUGUAAACGAUGGGUACUAGGUGUAGGUGGCGACAGUCAUCUGUGCCGUAGUUAACGCGAUAAGUACCCCGCCUGGGGAGUACGGCCGCAAGGCUGAAACUCAAAGGAAUUGACGGGGGCCCGCACAAGCGGUGGAGCAUGUGGUUUAAUUCGAAGCAACGCGAAGAACCUUACCAGGGCUUGACAUCCCCUGACGUGUACAGAGAUGUGCAUUCUCUUCGGAGCAGGGAGACAGGUGGUGCAUGGUUGUCGUCAGCUCGUGUCGUGAGAAGUUGGGUUAAGUCCCGCAACGAGCGCAACCCCUAUCAUUAGUUGCCAGCAUUAAGUUGGGCACUCUAGUGAGACUGCCGGUGAUAAACCGGAGGAAGGUGGGGAUGACGUCAAAUCAUCAUGCCCCUUAUGUCCUGGGCUACACACGUGCUACAAUGGCCUGAACAGAGGGAAGCGAAGGAGAGAUCUGGAGCGGAACCCAAAAAACAGGCCUCAGUUCGGAUCGCAGGCUGCAACUCGCCUGCGUGAAGUCGGAAUCGCUAGUAAUCGCAGGUCAGCAUACUGCGGUGAAUACGUUCCCGGGCCUUGUACACACCGCCCGUCACACCACGAAAGCUUGCAACACCCGAAGCCGGUGGUCUAACCGAAAGGAAGAAGCCGUCGAAGGUGGGGCAGGUGAUUGGGGUG